Molecule: ribosomal RNA, 495 nt
Filed under: uncultured bacterium
Lineage: Bacteria
Description: partial 16S ribosomal RNA
Rfam family: Bacterial small subunit ribosomal RNA
Source: RNAcentral
GAUGAACGCUGGCGGCGUGCCUAAUACAUGCAAGUAGAACGCUGAAGGAGGAGCUUGCUCUUCUGGAUGAGUUGCGAACGGGUGAGUAACGCGUAGGUAACCUGCCUGGUAGCGGGGGAUAACUAUUGGAAACGAUAGCUAAUACCGCAUGACAACAGUUAUUGCAUGAUAACUGUUUAAAAGGGGCAACUGCUCCACUACCAGAUGGACCUGCGUUGUAUUAGCUAGUUGGUGAGGUAACGGCUCACCAAGGCGACGAUACAUAGCCGACCUGAGAGGGGGAUCGGCCACACUGGGACUGAGACACGGCCCAGACUCCUACGGGAGGCAGCAGUAGGGAAUCUUCGGCAAUGGACGGAAGUCUGACCGAGCAACGCCGCGUGAGUGAAGAAGGUUUUCGGAUCGUAAAGCUCUGUUGGAAGAGAAGAACGAGUGUGAGAGUAGAAAGUUCACACUGUGACGGUAUCUUACCAGAAAGGGACGGCUAACUACGUG